RNAcentral lists this ribosomal RNA (1368 nucleotides) under uncultured bacterium. RNAcentral's name for it is "bacterial SSU rRNA". It matches the Rfam family "Bacterial small subunit ribosomal RNA". The record is from RNAcentral.
AGAGUUUGAUCCUGGCUCAGAACGAACGCUGGCGGCGUGGAUAAGACAUGCAAGUCGAACGAGAGAAUUGCUAGCUUGCUAAUAAUUCUCUAGUGGCGCACGGGUGAGUAACACGUGAGUAACCUGCCCCCGAGAGCGGGAUAGCCCUGGGAAACUGGGAUUAAUACCGCAUAGUAUCGAAAGAUUAAAGCAGCAAUGCGCUUGGGGAUGGGCUCGCGGCCUAUUAGUUAGUUGGUGAGGUAACGGCUCACCAAGGCGAUGACGGGUAGCCGGUCUGAGAGGAUGUCCGGCCACACUGGAACUGAGACACGGUCCAGACACCUACGGGUGGCAGCAGUCGAGAAUCAUUCACAAUGGGGGAAACCCUGAUGGUGCGACGCCGCGUGGGGGAAUGAAGGUCUUCGGAUUGUAAACCCCUGUCAUGUGGGAGCAAAUUAAAAAGAUAGUACCACAAGAGGAAGAGACGGCUAACUCUGUGCCAGCAGCCGCGGUAAUACAGAGGUCUCAAGCGUUGUUCGGAAUCACUGGGCGUAAAGCGUGCGUAGGCUGUUUCGUAAGUCGUGUGUGAAAGGCGCGGGCUCAACCCGCGGACGGCACAUGAUACUGCGAGACUAGAGUAAUGGAGGGGGAACCGGAAUUCUCGGUGUAGCAGAGAAAUGCGUAGAUAUCGCGAGGAACACUCGUGGCGAAGGCGGGUUCCUGGACAUUAACUGACGCUGAGGCACGAAGGCCAGGGGAGCGAAAGGGAUUAGAUACCCCUGUAGUCCUGGCAGUAAACGGUGCACGCUUGGUGUGCGGGGAAUCGACCCCCUGCGUGCCGGAGCUAACGCGUUAAGCGUGCCGCCUGGGGAGUACGGUCGCAAGAUUAAAACUCAAAGAAAUUGACGGGGACCCGCACAAGCGGUGGAGUAUGUGGCUUAAUUCGAUGCAACGCGAAGAACCUUACCUGGGCUUGACAUGUAAUGAACAACAUGUGAAAGCAUGCGACUCUUCGGAGGCGUUACACAGGUGCUGCAUGGCCGUCGUCAGCUCGUGUCGUGAGAUGUUUGGUUAAGUCCAGCAACGAGCGCAACCCCUGUUGCCAGUUACCAGCACGUGAAGGUGGGGACUCUGGCGAGACUGCCCAGAUCAACUGGGAGGAAGGUGGGGACGACGUCAGGUCAGUAUGGCCCUUAUGCCCAGGGCUGCACACGUACUACAAUGCCCAGUACAGAGGGGGCCGAAGCCGCGAGGCGGAGGAAAUCCUAAAAACUGGGCCCAGUUCGGACUGUAGGCUGCAACCCGCCUACACGAAGCCGGAAUCGCUAGUAAUGGCGCAUCAGCUACGGCGCCGUGAAUACGUUCCCGGGUCUUGCAUACACCGCCCGU